AAUCAAGCGCGAGAAGGGCGUUUGGUGGAUGCCUUGGCAGUAAGAGGCGAUGAAGGACGUGAUACUCUGCGAUAAGCCAUGAGGAGCUGAGAAUAAGCUUUGAUCCAUGGAUUUCCGAAUGGGGCAACCCACUUGAUUGUUUCCAGUUAUCGCGCAGCGAUACCCACUCCGUGCCUGCUCAAUGCAGGUUUGGGGCGGUUGCUGUGCGGUUAUCUGGAUGCAAAACCAAGUACUUAAAACCUGAAUACAUAGGGUUUUAAGAGCAAACCCGGAGAACUGAAACAUCUAAGUACCCGGAGGAAAGGACAGCAACAGCGACUCCCCUAGUAGCGGCGAGCGAACGGGGACCAGCCGAGCCUUGAGAGUGACCAGAACAUGUUGGGAAGCAUGGCCAUAGCGGGUGACAGCCCCGUAUGGGAAGCUCGAUGGGACGUAUUAAGUAGGGCGGGACACGUGAAAUCCUGUCUGAAGAUCGGAGGACCACCUUCGAAGGCUAAGUACUCCUUACUGACCGAUAGCGAACCAGUACCGUGAGGGAAAGGUGAAAAGCACCCCGACGAGGGGAGUGAAACAGUACCUGAAACCGAACGCCUACAAUCAGUCGGAGCUUGACUGGACUCUAAUGACAAUCUGCUGCAACAACGUGAUCGACGCAUCACGGAGGGACAGCAUGUCGGAUCUUGCAUUUAUCACGGACGGAACCGUUGCGGUGAUCGGCCUUAUCGUCGGUCUGAUCGACAUGACGGCCAACCACUGCCCGAACGAGGGCUGUCUGGCGAAACGCGAGGUUCAGUCCUACACGGGGAUCUCGGUCGGUGACACGGUUUUCCAGGAAAACACGGUCGGCGAAGAGGUUUACCUGCGUCGGGACACGCGACAUGCCUAUGGCCCCUUCCAGUUGAUCUACGGGCUUUCGGCGACGUCGGAUGGUGAGCUUUGGGCCGGGGUCGGCCAGGCUUAUACAUGGACGAACCGCCGCGAGAACAUGUUCGUGCAGCUGCACGCGAUGGCUGGCCUUUAUGAAGAGGGCAGCGGCGCGGACCUGGGCGGCCCGAUCCAGUUUCGAUCGGGGGUCGAGGUGGGAUAUCAGAACAAGAUGGGCGUACGGAUGAGCCUUGGCGUCGACCACCGGUCGAACGCGGGUCUCUACAGUUCGAACCCCGGUCUUGAGACGGUGCACUUCCGGGUGUCGAUCCCGACGAAGUGAUCCCGAGCACGGCCUCAAGUAGCCCGAAAGGGCGGUAGGCCAACCAAUCCAGAUUGUUAUUAGUGUCCAGUCUUGUGACGGCGUACCUUUUGUAUAAUGGGUCAUCGACUUGGUCUAUCCAGCAAGCUUAAGCCGUUAGGUGUAGGCGCAGCGAAAGCGAGUCUUAAUAGGGCGUCGAGUUGGAUGGAUCAGACCCGAAACCGAGUGAUCUAGGCAUGACCAGGCUGAAGGUAAGGUAACACUUACUGGAGGGCCGAACCCACACCUGUUGAAAAAGGUCGGGAUGAGUUGUGCCUAGGGGUGAAAGGCCAAUCAAACUCGGAGAUAGCUGGUUCUCUGCGAAAUCUAUUUAGGUAGAGCGUCAUCCGAAUACCCUCGGGGGUAGAGCACUGGAUGGGUAAUGGGGCCCCACAGGCUUACUGAUCCUAACCAAACUCCGAAUACCGGGGAGUACUGGAUGGCAGACACACUGCGGAUGCUAACGUCCGUAGUGGAGAGGGAAACAACCCUGACCUACAGCUAAGGCCCCCAAUUCAUGGCUAAGUGGGAAAGCAGGUGGGACGACCAAAACAACCAGGAGGUUGGCUUAGAAGCAGCCAUCCUUUAAAGAUAGCGUAACAGCUCACUGGUCUAAACAAGUUGUCCUGCGGCGAAGAUGUAACGGGGCUCAAGCCAUGAGCCGAAGCUUAGGAGUGCGUAAGCACUGGUAGCAGAGCGUAGUGUGACACAGGACUGAUCUUUACUAUCGCACGUCGGAGACGGGAGCGCAGGCAACUGUGCUCAAGUAGCCGGCAGGCGGUAGCACAAGAUCGAGUCCUUUCGAUGAAGCCGGGGCGUGAGCCAUCCGGUGGAGAGAUCACUAGUGAGAAUGAUGACAUGAGUAGCGACAAACAGGGUGAGAGACCCUGUCGCCGAAAGUCCAAGGGUUCCUGCUUAAAGCUAAUCUGAGCAGGGUAAGCCGACCCCUAAGGCGAGGCCGAAAGGCGUAGUCGAUGGGAACCAGGUUAAUAUUCCUGGGCCAGGAGGAUGUGACGGAUCGUGAAGGUUGUUCAGACUUAUCGGAUUGUCUGGGCCGCUGAUCGGUUCCUGGAAAUAGCACCUCCAUGAGAUCGUACCCUAAACCGACACAGGUGGACUGGUAGAGAAUACCAAGGCGCUUGAGAGAACGAUGUUGAAGGAACUCGGCAAAAUACCUCCGUAAGUUCGCGAGAAGGAGGCCCAGUUUCUACGCAAGUAUUGGCUGGGGGCACAAACCAGGGGGUGGCGACUGUUUACUAAAAACACAGGGCUCUGCGAAGUCGCAAGACGACGUAUAGGGUCUGACGCCUGCCCGGUGCCUGAAGGUUAAAAGGAGAGGUGAGAGCCUUGAAUUGAAGCCCAGGUAAACGGCGGCCGUAACUAUAACGGUCCUAAGGUAGCGAAAUUCCUUGUCGGGUAAGUUCCGACCUGCACGAAUGGCGUAACGACUUCCCCGCUGUCUCCAACAUCGACUCAGCGAAAUUGAAUUGCCUGUCAAGAUGCAGGCUUCCCGCGGUUAGACGGAAAGACCCCGUGCACCUUUACUACAGCUUCGCACUGGCAUCAGGAUUGUGAUGUGCAGGAUAGGUGGUAGGCUUCGAAGCAGGAACGCCAGUUUCUGUGGAGCCUCCCUUGAGAUACCACCCUUCGCACUCUUGAUGUCUAACCGCGGUCCGUUAUCCGGAUCCGGGACCCUGCGUGGCGGGUAGUUUGACUGGGGCGGUCGCCUCCUAAAGCGUAACGGAGGCGCGCGAAGGUUGGCUCAGAGCGGUCGGAAAUCGCUCGUUGAGUGCAAUGGCAGAAGCCAGCCUGACUGCAAGACUGACAAGUCGAGCAGAGUCGAAAGACGGCCAUAGUGAUCCGGUGGUCCCGAGUGGAAGGGCCAUCGCUCAACGGAUAAAAGGUACGCCGGGGAUAACAGGCUGAUACUGCCCAAGAGUCCAUAUCGACGGCAGUGUUUGGCACCUCGAUGUCGGCUCAUCUCAUCCUGGGGCUGGAGCAGGUCCCAAGGGUACGGCUGUUCGCCGUUUAAAGAGGUACGUGAGCUGGGUUUAGAACGUCGUGAGACAGUUCGGUCCCUAUCUGCCGUGGGUGUAGGAUACUUGAGAGGAGUUGCCCCUAGUACGAGAGGACCGGGGUGAACGAUCCACUGGUGGACCUGUUGUCGUGCCAACGGCAGUGCAGGGUAGCUAUGAUCGGACAGGAUAACCGCUGAAGGCAUCUAAGCGGGAAGCCCCCCUCAAAACAAGGUAUCCCUGAGGGCCGUGGUAGACCACCACGUCGAUAGGCCGGAGAUGUAAGCGCAGCAAUGCGUUCAGUUGACCGGUACUAAUUGCCCGACAGGCUUGAUUUG
This is a ribosomal RNA of Roseovarius pacificus, 3578 nucleotides long. It matches the Rfam family "Bacterial large subunit ribosomal RNA". The record is from Rfam. NCBI's taxonomy places the organism in Bacteria, Pseudomonadati, Pseudomonadota, Alphaproteobacteria, Rhodobacterales, Roseobacteraceae.